GAUGAACGCUAGCUACAGGCUUAACACAUGCAAGUCGAGGGGAAACGAUAUUGGAAGCUUGCUUCCGAUAGGCGUCGACCGGCGCACGGGUGAGUAACGCGUAUCCAACCUGCCCACCACUUGGGGAUAACCUUGCGAAAGUAAGACUAAUGCCCAAUGAUAUCUCUAGAAGACAUCUGAAGGAGAUUAAAGAUUCAUCGGUGAUGGAUGGGGAUGCGUCUGAUUAGUUUGUUGGCGGGGUAACGGCCCACCAAGGCGACGAUCAGUAGGGGUUCUGAGAGGAAGGUCCCCCACAUUGGAACUGAGACACGGUCCAAACUCCUACGGGAGGCAGCAGUGAGGAAUAUUGGUCAAUGGGCGAGAGCCUGAACCAGCCAAGUAGCGUGCAGGAUGACGGCCCUAUGGGUUGUAAACUGCUUUUAUAAGGGAAUAAAGUGAGUCUCGUGAGACUUUUUGCAUGUACCUUAUGAAUAAGGACCGGCUAAUUCCGUGCCAGCCGCCGCCGUAA
RNAcentral lists this ribosomal RNA (508 nucleotides) under uncultured bacterium. Its description in RNAcentral is "partial 16S ribosomal RNA". It matches the Rfam family "Bacterial small subunit ribosomal RNA", at positions 28 to 523 of the family's 1533-position model. The record is from RNAcentral.